Molecule: long non-coding RNA, 387 nt
Organism: Cydia splendana
Lineage: Eukaryota; Metazoa; Arthropoda; Insecta; Lepidoptera; Tortricidae
Exons: 3
Source: RefSeq, a predicted model, not a curated record
UCCAGAUAUUCGUGUGCUUGUUGGUUUUGAUCGUGGCCGUGCACGCCGGCUUCAUCGGCGGCGGCGGCGGUGGCUGGUCUGGCGGCGGCGGCGGUGGAUGGUCCGGCGGCGGCGGGGGCUGGUCGAGUGGUGGUGGUGGCGGCGGCUGGAAGUCUGGAGGCGGUGGCGGCGGCGGUUGGCGCAGCGGCGGCGGCGGCGGCCAGGUGAAGAUCAUAAAAGUCAUCAGCAGCGGCGGAGGCGGAGGCGGUUGGCGAAGCGGUGGUGGCGGCGGCGGCUGGCAGAGCGGCGGCGGCGGCGGUGGCUGGAAAUCCGGCGGCGGCGGCGGUUGGAAAUCUUGGUGAUCGCAUUCGUAGCUCCAUUAUCAACAAUACAUGAAUACCCCUCUCA